ACUCCAAUUUUCUUUUCUUUUGAACUGAUCCUACUCCGGUUGACUUAGCACGCCUAAUAAGUCAUACUUUACCAUUGAUGUGGCCAAAAGAUAUUGGUCAAUCAGCGUGGAGGGUGACACGUCAACUAACAGGCUCACAAGAGGCGUUGCUCCAACAAAACCAGAAUCUGCAAAAUUUGUGUUUUUCCAAGUUUCAUUAGUAGAUUAUUGCACCGAAACACAAAAGAUACAAAACUGAGAAAGAAAGAUGAGAUUUUUAUGGUUAAUUAUAGUUGUAUACACUUUUUGCCGCCAUGUUUUAGCUGAUCAGAUCUUCCCUGGUCAUGUGGGUGGUACAUUCAGUCGCAGCUCUCGUGAACCUAAGUAUAAGAUUGAAUUGCAUCCAGAAGACUCUCCUUUUCAUCCUGAUGAUGGCCAGGAGUCGGUGGUUAUGCAUAACAAAAAUGGACAGAAUUUUUUAUGUUACUUGCCCAAGGUGGAGAAAGCCAAGAGUGGAAAUCUUGUUAAUCAGCUGAAUAUUAGUGGCAUGAUUGUGGAAACUGAGAAACCGGUCAAACUGAAAACACCAGAUGAGCUACUUGAAGUGUUGAAGGAACGGUGUUUCAUCAGACAAGAAGGUUGGUGGUCUUAUGAAUUCUGCUAUCAGAAGAAGUUGCGACAAGUUCAUUUGGAAGAUGAUAAGUUGGUUCAGGAAUUUGUUUUGGGUGUUUAUGAUGAAGAAGCCACAGCUGCCUUCAACCAGAAUCUGUCUGAUGUUUCUACAGUGAAAGAUCCUCGCUCAAAAGAUGCAUCGCAAAGGUAUCAUGCUCAUCAAUAUACAAACGGAACCAUGUGCGACCUCACAAAUCAGCCCCGCGAAACAGAGGUGAGAUUUGUAUGCUCAGAACCUAGAGCUAUGAUUAGUUCUAUCACAGAGCUAUCCACUUGCAAGUAUGCUCUUACAGUACAAGUCCCAAUGCUUUGCAAGCACCUAUUGUUUCAAGAAGAGAGACCAGUAUGGCACACCAUCGACUGUAAUGCCCUUCCCAAGGAUUAUGAGGAAACAAAGGCUGAGAAUGACAAAACUGUAGAUAAGCAGAUUAUUAUGGUCACAGAUGCUGAAUAUCCAUCUGCUUAUGAUUCAGAUGAAUAGGUGGGCCGCUGCAUACAGGGACCUCUUUCGAUACAAACUGGAUUAGAUGAUGAGAUUCCCAAUUUGUCUUCCCAUCUCUCAAGUCUUUGUUGCUUACAUUGUAAAAUUAAGCCAACCUAGGCUCUUGCCGACCAUGAAGUCGAGGCAAGCCAAUGAAGCAGUCAGUAAAGCAGCCAUAGAACCGAAAUCAUGCCUUUUGUUGAAGGCAACACUGGCAUAGCACGAGUCUCACUUGGUGAAAACUACACCGUGGGAAUGUGGUUGUCGCAUGUAUUUCCAGGUAUAGACAAGAAAAAGUUUUCUGCAGUUCUUUCGGUAGAGAAAUCUAGAAAAUUAAUAUACACCAACUAUUCUUUUCAACGCUGCUCAACUCUAAACUGUCUCUUACCUUUUUCUUUUUUUUUCCCCUCAUCAUACUAUCACAUUCAUCUUUCCGCCAAUUGUUAAUCUAACAUGUUUAGUUGAAAGUUAAUGUGAACGUUCGAUUCAAAUCU
RNA transcript from Ricinus communis (castor bean), 1626 nucleotides. It is a transcript of the gene named protein OS-9 homolog, with no coding region annotated. The transcript has 9 exons. Lineage: Eukaryota; Viridiplantae; Streptophyta; Magnoliopsida; Malpighiales; Euphorbiaceae. The record is from RefSeq and is a predicted model, not a curated record.